AAGAGAAUUACGGGAGAGACUAGUCAUAGCACCGAAGGAAUAAAUAAUCAAUGGCGCAAACCAUUGAUCAUGAAGAUCUCAGGUAAAAGGACCGUAAUUGGACA
This is a non-coding RNA of Enterococcus sp., 104 nucleotides long. NCBI's taxonomy places the organism in Bacteria, Bacillati, Bacillota, Bacilli, Lactobacillales, Enterococcaceae. The record is from Rfam.